This is an RNA transcript of Vigna unguiculata (cowpea), 433 nucleotides long. It is a transcript of the gene named peroxidase 10-like, with no coding region annotated. Lineage: Eukaryota; Viridiplantae; Streptophyta; Magnoliopsida; Fabales; Fabaceae. The record is from RefSeq and is a predicted model, not a curated record.
GACUUGUAUGACAACUAUGCUCCUUCACGUGCAUUUAUCUAUUUCUAGAAUUUACUUCACUUUCAGUGCCCAACUUUACUCCUCAAUCUUCAUAUUCCUCUUCCUCUCCCUAUAGUGCAUAGGGAGAAGGUGAACCACCCAUGGAACCUCCUCCGUCACAAUCCUUUCAAGUUUCUGGGGAUGAUACACAAGACAAAGUCAUCAACGAGUGUUGUUCUUGCUGCUACGACUGUUUUCAGGGUCUCUUCGAUUUCUUGUGCUGUAACUUUUGUUAAAACUCUUGGAUUAGGGUUAUUUCAUGGGGACAUGGGGUAUCAACAUGUUCCUUUUCUCUCCCCCUUUAUCAGAUGAUUUUGAUGUAUGAUCUGAAUUAACUAAGGAAAAACUGUGCUUUUUAAUCAUAGACUGAUGCAACAUUCCCCCUUUUUGUGUC